CAGUCGCCGCGGGAAUACAGAGGGUGCGAGCGUUAAUCGGAAUUACUGGGCGUAAAGCGCACGCAGGCGGUCUGACAAGUCAGAUGUGAAAUCCCCGGGCUUAACCUGGGAACUGCAUUUGAAACUGUCAGGCUGGAGUCUUGUAGAGGGGGGUGGAAUUCCAGGUGUAGCGGUGAAAUGCGUAGAGAUCUGGAGGAAUACCGGUGGCGAAGGCGGCCCCCUGGACAAAGACUGACGCUCAGGUGCGAAAGCGUGGGGAGCAAACAGGAUUAGAUACCCGCGUAGUCCCUGUCUCUUAUAC
RNAcentral lists this ribosomal RNA (301 nucleotides) under uncultured bacterium. RNAcentral's name for it is "partial 16S ribosomal RNA". It matches the Rfam family "Bacterial small subunit ribosomal RNA", at positions 509 to 807 of the family's 1533-position model. The record is from RNAcentral.